CGGCAGUGCGGCAGCUUACCUGCAGUCGUACGAAUGGAUUUUGGCUUGCCAAAAUUUAAUGAGUGGCGGACGGGUGAGUAACACGUAAGAACCUACCUUUUGGAGAGGGACAACCACUGGAAACGGUGGCUAAUACCCCAUAUUGCUGAGAAGUGAAAUGAUGAAUAAUCGCCAAGAGAUGGGCUUGCGGCUGAUUAGCUUGUUGGUGAGGUAAUGGCUUACCAAGGCGAUGAUCAGUAGCUGGUCUGAGAGGAUGAUCAGCCACACUGGGACUGAGACACGGCCCAGACUCCUACGGGAGGCAGCAGUGAGGAAUUUUCCGCAAUGGGCGAAAGCCUGACGGAGCAAUGCCGCGUGAAGGAUGAAGGCCUAUGGGUUGUAAACUUCUUUUCUCAGAGAAGAAAUUUUGACGGUAUCUGAGGAAUAAGCAUCGGCUAACUCUGUGCCAGCAGCCGCGGUAAGACAGAGGAUGCAAGCGUUAUCCGGAAUGAUUGGGCGUAAAGCAUCUGUAGGUGGCUUGAAAAGUCUCCUGUCAAAGAUCAGGGCUUAACCCUGGGCCGGCAGGAGAAACUCUCAGGCUAGAGUUUGGUAGGGGCAGAGGGAAUUCCCGGUGGAGCGGUGAAAUGCGUAGAGAUCGGGAGGAACACCAAAGGCGAAAGCACUCUGCUGGGCCAUUACUGACACUGAGAGACAAAAGCGAGGGGAGCAAAUGGGAUUACAUACCCCAGUAGUCCUCGCCGUAAACGAUGGAGACUAGGUGUUGGAUGGGUUCAAAUCAUUCAGUACCCUAUCUCACGCGUGAAGUAUCCCGCCUGGGGAGUAUGCUCGCAAGAGUGAAACUCAAAGAAUUGACGGGGGCCCGCACAAGCGUGGAGCAUGUGGUUUAUUCGAUGCA
RNAcentral lists this ribosomal RNA (895 nucleotides) under uncultured bacterium. Its description in RNAcentral is "bacterial SSU rRNA". It matches the Rfam family "Bacterial small subunit ribosomal RNA", at positions 37 to 958 of the family's 1533-position model. The record is from RNAcentral.